RNAcentral lists this long non-coding RNA (302 nucleotides) under Homo sapiens (human). Its description in RNAcentral is "non-protein coding lnc-STX3-2:12". The record is from RNAcentral. Lineage: Eukaryota; Metazoa; Chordata; Mammalia; Primates; Hominidae.
GAAAGCGGCAUUGCUGACCAGUGAGAGAGACCUAAUGAGGAGCAGGCCGGGGCAACCAAUGAAAUCGGAGAAGAGCGCUUGGGGGCGUGUCCGCCUGCUUUCAGCCUUUGCUAAAAUCAGUCAUCUUCCUGCGAAGGCAUGAGGAGGAAAAGAGAGGAAGUAACUGAGGUGGGUACAUAAGGCAUGGAGAGUGAAGACCCCAAAGGGCUGUAAGACCUCAUAAGGAGUCCAAGUUUUAUUCUCAUUGCAACAGGAAGCAAUCAAAGGGAUUAGAGCAAGUGACCCCAGUUCAUUCAUUCUUU